This 1827-nucleotide long non-coding RNA is filed under the name Chinchilla lanigera (long-tailed chinchilla). RNAcentral's name for it is "lncRNA (ENSCLAG00000023622.1)". The record is from RNAcentral. Lineage: Eukaryota; Metazoa; Chordata; Mammalia; Rodentia; Chinchillidae.
GCGUGUGCUUCCACACGGGAGGGAGGCUCGGAAGCUCCCCUGUGGCGUCCCUGGGCUGCUCAGCCUCUCUCUGCCUGCACCCCUCCGGCCUGUGUGUGCCCACCCACCUGGUGCCCGGCGUGGACUCCAGAGGCCGCAGCAUCUGUGUGAGCUCCCGGGCUCGGCUCCUCCAGGAAGCGCAGCCAUUGUCUGCUGAGGGGAUGUCUGUGCCACCCUGUCCCUAGAGCCCAAGGCGUGGGGUGUGGGAGCUCCCCAAAGCCUCGCCGUGUGCUCCUCUGGCUGAGCAGCAUGGCCUCCCCUUGUCCCAUCUCAGAGCGAUCAGUGUGGGGUGCAGGGCGGAGCAGCCUGGGUUCCAGGGGGGAGCUCUGGCUCACAGUCCCCGGCGGGCCCUGCGUAUGGACUUGGGGCUCUGAUCCCAGUGGGAGGGGCUGCGAAGCCCAUUCUGGCUUCUCCCCAGUUGAGGAUCUUGGUGAGCCUCCAACCCCCGAGCUGGGGGCCUUUAGAAAGCUUUUCCUGCUACUGAGUACGCAGGCCCCUUGGGGACAGGGCCACGGACCGAGCCUUCCCAGCCCCACUGCACCUGCCUGGCUGUUUCCUGGAAACACCUUCUAGUGGCCAUCUCCCAGACACAUCAGUUCCCCAAUGUGCAUCAGCCUCCUUCUAGUAAGCUCGAACUCUGGGGCAGUGUCUCUAUCCCUCACUGGUUUGCUGUGUGACCUCAGGCCAACAAGCAAGCCCUCUGCUCUGCUUGGGAGGAGAAUCUGUGUAGAGUUGUUGGGGAACAGCCCGGAGCAACAGAAGAUUCGUGCGGAAGGAACCCAGAACCAUAAAGCAUUCCCCAAGUUCCAAGACAUCGGCGCCAACCGCGGCCUCGGAGAGGGGCUCUUCAGCGUGGAAUGUGACCCCAGGAAGCUCCAGCGGUCCUGGGCAAUGAGGUCAGCCCGCGGGGCCAAUGGGCCACCCUAUGGCCAUGGUCAUGGGUCCCUCUCCCAGCCACCCCCGCCUGCAGAACUCCUCAGCUGUUUCCCAUCCGCGUCAGGCCAGCGCCAGGGCCAGAGCCGCCCAUUCCCGGAGCUGCUGACCUUCCAGCCUGCGCCUUUCCUUUUUUGACUGUCCCCUCGCUUUGUGCUCAUUCCCGCGUGUGCCGGAGGGGAGGAUGCCCGGAAGGGGCGGCACCCAGGAGGCCUCAGUCCCCAGCUGAGAUGAUGAACCGCGAGGGCCUGGUACUCUGGGCCCAGCUCCGCCAGGGCCUCUGCCCAGGUCCUCCAGGACCAGGAAGCCCACGACGUCCUUCGCCUGUCCCCUCCCUUGGUCCCUAGGCCCACAUAGCACUUCGGCCACCACGGGAAUGUGGCUGAAGAGGAGGUGGGAGGCCUCUGGAAGCCGACUUCCUGGGGAGCCAUCAGCGGGCUCCUCUAGGCCUCCGGGGCCCAAUCUGAGUUCCAGGACCACGUCACUGGCCUCUCGUCUCUCCCCAAGGCAUUUGCCAGGGGACAGAGGGUGGUGGGUGGGACCCUGCCCCCUGCCCCAGAUCCUAUUUGCACCGCAAGGCCGGAGGCCCACAGCGUCCAGCCCCACUCACCUCUCAGCCCACACCCAGACCCAAGCUGCCCUCUCCCGCUCCCAGCCAGCAAGUCCCUUCCACGGGGCCGGCCACAGCUCCCCGUCUCCGCGUCCCCAGCUGCACCCCACUUCUUCACCUCCUCAGAAAGCCCUGCCCAAGCCCGAACCAAGCUCUGUCUCCUCCCUGUUUCCCUGGGACCCCUUCUCCCCUUGCUCAAAAACCUGAGUUGGGCCGGGCGUGGUGGCGCACAUCUGUAAUCCCAG